RNAcentral lists this non-coding RNA (28 nucleotides) under Mus musculus (house mouse). The record is from RNAcentral. Lineage: Eukaryota; Metazoa; Chordata; Mammalia; Rodentia; Muridae.
UAUGGUGAUGUCACGUUUGUUGUGGAAA